AGAGUUUGAUCAUGGCUCAGGAUGAACGCUAGCUACAGGCUUAACACAUGCAAGUCGAGGGGCAGCAUGUUGGUUGCUUGCAACCAACGAUGGCGACCGGCGCACGGGUGAGUAACGCGUAUCCAACCUACCCUUGUCCAUCGGAUAACCCGUCGAAAGGCGGCCUAACACGAUAUGCGGUUCACAGCAGGCAUCUAACGUGAACGAAAUGUGAAGGAGAAGGAUGGGGAUGCGUCUGAUUAGCUUGUUGGCGGGGUAACGCCACAAGGCUACGAUCAGUAGGGGUUCUGGAGAGGAAGUCCCCCANAUUGGAACUGAGACACGGUCCAAACUCCGUACGGGAGGCA
Molecule: ribosomal RNA, 347 nt
Filed under: uncultured bacterium
Lineage: Bacteria
Description: bacterial SSU rRNA
Rfam family: Bacterial small subunit ribosomal RNA
Source: RNAcentral